Molecule: ribosomal RNA, 1119 nt
Filed under: uncultured bacterium
Lineage: Bacteria
Description: bacterial SSU rRNA
Rfam family: Bacterial small subunit ribosomal RNA
Source: RNAcentral
AGCCAUGCCGCGUGUGUGAAGAAGGCCUUUUGGUUGUAAAGCACUUUAAGCAGUGAAGAAGACUCCGUGGUUAAUACCCCACGGACGAUGACAUUAGCUGCAGAAUAAGCACCGGCUAACUCUGUGCCAGCAGCCGCGGUAAUACAGAGGGUGCAAGCGUUAAUCGGAAUUACUGGGCGUAAAGCGAGCGUAGGUGGCUUGAUAAGUCAGAUGUGAAAUCCCCGGGGCUUAACCUGGGAACUGCAUCUGAUACUGUUAGGCUAGAAUAGGUGAGAGGAAGGUAGAAUUCCAGGUGUAGCGGUGAAAUGCGUAGAGAUCUGGAGGAAUACCGAUGGCGAAGGCAGCUUUCUGGCAUCAUAUUGACACUGAGGUUCGAAAGCGUGGGUAGCAAACAGGAUUAGAUACCCUGGUAGUCCACGCCGUAAACGAUGUCUACUAGUCGUUGGGUCCCUUGAGGACUUAGUGACGCAGCUAACGCAAUAAGUAGACCGCCUGGGGAGUACGGCCGCAAGGUUAAAACUCAAAUGAAUUGACGGGGGCCCGCACAAGCGGUGGAGCAUGUGGUUUAAUUCGAUGCAACGCGAAGAACCUUACCUGGUCUUGACAUAUCUAGAAUCCUGCAGAGAUGCGGGAGUGCCUUCGGGAAUUAGAAUACAGGUGCUGCAUGGCUGUCGUCAGCUCGUGUCGUGAGAUGUUGGGUUAAGUCCCGCAACGAGCGCAACCCUUGUCCUUAGUUACCAGCGGGUUAAGCCGGGAACUCUAAGGAUACUGCCAGUGACAAACUGGAGGAAGGCGGGGACGACGUCAAGUCAUCAUGGCCCUUACGACCAGGGCUACACACGUGCUACAAUGGUAGGUACAGAGGGCAGCUACACAGCGAUGUGAUGCGAAUCUCAAAAAGCCUAUCGUAGUCCAGAUUGGAGUCUGCAACUCGACUCCAUGAAGUAGGAAUCGCUAGUAAUCGCGGAUCAGAAUGCCGCGGUGAAUACGUUCCCGGGCCUUGUACACACCGCCCGUCACACCAUGGGAGUUGAUUGCACCAGAAGUGGAUAGCCUAACCGUAAGGAAGGCGUUCACCACGGUGUGGUUGAUGACUGGGGUGAAGUCGUAACAAGGUAA